This 429-nucleotide ribosomal RNA is filed under the name Acidobacteriota bacterium. RNAcentral's name for it is "Acidobacteria bacterium partial 16S ribosomal RNA". It matches the Rfam family "Bacterial small subunit ribosomal RNA", at positions 355 to 776 of the family's 1533-position model. The record is from RNAcentral. Lineage: Bacteria; Pseudomonadati; Acidobacteriota.
UGGGGAAUUUUGGACAAUGGGGGCAACCCUGAUCCAGCAAUGCCGCGUGUGUGAAGAAGGCCUUCGGGUUGUAAAGCACUUUUGUCCGGGAAGAAAUCGCACCUGAUAAUACCGGGUGUGGAUGACGGUACCGGAAGAAUAAGGACCGGCUAACUACGUGCCAGCAGCCGCGGUAAUACGUAGGGUCCAAGCGUUAAUCGGAAUUACUGGGCGUAAAGCGUGCGCAGGCGGUUGUGCAAGACCGAUGUGAAAUCCCCGGGCUUAACCUGGGAAUUGCAUUGGUGAGUGAACGGCUAGAGUGUGUCAGAGGGGGGUAGAAUUCCACGUGUAGCAGUGAAAGGCGUAGAGAUGUGGAGGAAUACCGAUGGCGAAGGCAGCCCCGUGGGAUAACACUGACGCUGAUGCACGAAAGCGGGGGGAGCAAACAGG